UACGAAGGGGGCUAGCGUUGUUCGGAUUUACUGGGCGUAAAGCGCACGUAGGCGGAUUGUUAAGUCAGGGGUGAAAUCCUGGAGCUCAACUCCAGAACUGCCUUCGAUACUGGCGAUCUCGAGUCCGGAAGAGGUGAGUGGAACUCCUAGUGUAGAGGUGGAAUUCGUAGAUAUUAGGAAGAACACCAGUGGCGAAGGCGGCUCACUGGUCCGGUACUGACGCUGAGGUGCGAAAGCGUGGGGAGCAAACAGG
This 253-nucleotide ribosomal RNA is filed under the name uncultured bacterium. RNAcentral describes it as "partial 16S ribosomal RNA". It matches the Rfam family "Bacterial small subunit ribosomal RNA", at positions 524 to 776 of the family's 1533-position model. The record is from RNAcentral.